CCUACGGGAGACAGCAGUGGGGAAUAUUGCACAAUGGGGGAAACCCUGAUGCAGCGACGCCGCGUGGGUGAAGGAGUAUUUCGGUAUGUAAAGCCCUAUCAGCAGGGAAGAUAAUGACGGUACCUGACUAAGAAGCCCCGGCUAACUACGUGCCAGCAGCCGCGGUAAUACGUAGGGGGCAAGCGUUAUCCGGAUUUACUGGGUGUAAAGGGAGCGUAGACGGCGAUGCAAGCCAGAUGUGAAAGCCCGGGGCUCAACCCCGGGACUGCAUUUGGAACUGUGUGGCUGGAGUGUCGGAGAGGCAGGCGGAAUUCCUAGUGUAGCGGUGAAAUGCGUAGAUAUUAGGAGGAACACCAGUGGCGAAGGCGGCCUGCUGGACGAUGACUGACGUUGAGGCUCGAAAGCGUGGGGAGCAAACAGGAUUAGAUACCCGAGUAGUC
Molecule: ribosomal RNA, 440 nt
Filed under: uncultured bacterium
Lineage: Bacteria
Description: partial 16S ribosomal RNA
Rfam family: Bacterial small subunit ribosomal RNA
Source: RNAcentral